RNAcentral lists this long non-coding RNA (1159 nucleotides) under Marmota monax (woodchuck). Lineage: Eukaryota; Metazoa; Chordata; Mammalia; Rodentia; Sciuridae. The record is from RNAcentral.
CUGAGCUGAAUUUUGCACAAGAUGGUCAUUCCAGGUGUCCUUCUGCGUCCCCUGGUUGAUGGUGAGGGCGGUGGAUGGGAAUACUCCCCGUCUGUCUGCAGUAAACAAAUCACACCUGGACUUCACUGUCACCAGGAGAAGCCCUGGUCAGUGUUAGGUCACACACCUGGUGGGGCAUGGCUAGCUGAAGGUCCAGAUGUGAAGGAACCUGUGAUUUCCCCUCCUUGGGCUUUUGUCUAGAUUAUUUGCUUCUUGAAUUAACAAUCUGUGCACUUUAAAGCAUCGUACGGAGUUUAUUGUGGGUUUUAAAGUCCAUCGUCAUCAAGACCAUGACUAUCGACAACCCAAGAAGCAGAAGAGAAAGACUGAAUAUUUCGUUCUCUCGGGUAGCGUGAUUAUCAUUCCUGUCUGUAUCUUUGCUCUGUGUUCACUCAGCCCCUGCAGGCCCCACGGCAUGCCAUUGUGGACUGUCAGCAGCAGUGCCCCGCUGGCUGUGGUCCUAUGCCCAGGUUUGCUCUGUCACCUGUGCUUGCUCUGCCAGCCCUGGCCUUGGAUUUGUGGCUGUGCAUAUGGCCAGCCUCCCCUGGUCUGUAACCACUGGACUCCCUGUUGACCUCUUGGUGGGAGCUCCCAGUCACUCUGCUCUGCUGCCCUCGGGUGUGGUUCCCCCUCAGGGAUCUCCAGGCAUGGUCUUGGCCCACCAUUGGCCCGGGCUCAACCUCCUUUUCUCUGGGGUGAGGGUGAAGGUUAGGAUGGGGAGGGAUUCAAUCCUUUACAGGUAUUUAUGACAUCACCUUAAAACAAAACAACAAAACCCCAUGAGUCAGGGUGUGUAAUUCACCAGCUUAAAACCAGUCCAGGGACCUCCUCUCCCUGUGAAGUCCUUCACUCCAACCUGCUUGUAGCAGACUGUGGGCCUGCUGUCUCUCACUGCUGAGCCUUUGCAAGCAUCCACUGCUGCCCUGGGAAGUCCCCAAGGUGUGGAAGGACAUCAUGUGAGUACCAGACUGUGCAUCCAGCUUGGUGGGAUUUGAUGAAGCCAACCUGUACCCCAGAAAGACAGAGCAUGGGGCUCACGGGGGAGGGAGUGACAUCUGGGGUCAAGUGUGUAGUGGGGAACCUGGUAUCUCAGCAAAGGCAGCUUGAAGAUGAGCCCUGA